This 468-nucleotide ribosomal RNA is filed under the name uncultured bacterium. RNAcentral's name for it is "partial 16S ribosomal RNA". It matches the Rfam family "Bacterial small subunit ribosomal RNA", at positions 28 to 507 of the family's 1533-position model. The record is from RNAcentral.
GACGAACGCUGGCGGCGUGCUUAACACAUGCAAGUCGAACGGAAAGGCCCUGCUUUUGUGGGGUGCUCGAGUUGCGAACGGGUGAGUAACACGUGAGUAACCUGCCCUUGACUUUGGGAUAACUUCAGGAAACUGGGGCUAAUACCGGAUAGGAGCUCCUGCUGCAUGGUGGGGGUUGGAAAGUUUCGGCGGUUGGGGAUGGACUCGCGGCUUAUCAGCUUGUUGGUGGGGUAGUGGCUUACCAAGGCUUUGACGCGUAGCCGGCCUGAGAGGGUGACCGUCCACAUUGGGACUGGGAUGAGGCCCAGACUCCUACGGGAGGCAGCAGUGGGGAAUAUUGCACAAUGGGCGGAAGCCUGAUGCAGCCACGCCGCGUGCGGGAUGACGGCCUUCGGGUUGUAAACCGCUUCCGCCUGUGACGAAGCGUGAGUGACGGUAAUGGGUAAAGAAGCACCGGCUAACUACGUG